RNAcentral lists this long non-coding RNA (235 nucleotides) under Lathyrus oleraceus (garden pea). RNAcentral describes it as "Pisum sativum (pea) long non-coding RNA (PSAT_LNC024913)". The record is from RNAcentral. Lineage: Eukaryota; Viridiplantae; Streptophyta; Magnoliopsida; Fabales; Fabaceae.
GGCUGCCUAGUCUCUUUUCUUUUUUUUUCUCAUGGCAUUUCGAAUUUGGCCAAAUUAUAAUAUUAGCAUGAGGAAAUAUGGUCAAAUGGGGUAUUUGUGUUUUAGAUGAAUUUAUGUUGCUUUAUCUUGAGCAUUUUAUUAUGAUUUUAUUUCAGUAACAGUGUGCGGUUGUAAGAUCUUCUGUGAGAUUGAUGGUAUAGUGUAAUUUGCAAAACAUGUAAAUAAUCCAUUUGGU